GCCGGGAUGGCGGAACUGGUAGACGCGCUGGAUUCAAAAUCCAGUUUCCGAAAGGAAGUGGGGGUUCGAUUCCCCCUCCCGGCACCA
RNAcentral lists this transfer RNA (87 nucleotides) under Gammaproteobacteria bacterium. Its description in RNAcentral is "tRNA-Leu". It matches the Rfam family "tRNA". Rfam says of the family: Transfer RNA (tRNA) molecules are approximately 80 nucleotides in length. Their secondary structure includes four short double-helical elements and three loops (D, anti-codon, and T loops). The record is from RNAcentral. RNAcentral also lists the same sequence under 3 other names. Lineage: Bacteria; Pseudomonadati; Pseudomonadota; Gammaproteobacteria.